NNNNNNNNNNNNNNNNNNNNNNNNNNNNNNNNNNNNNNNNNNNNNNNNNNNNNNNNNNNNNNNNNNNNNACACACACACACACACACCCCACGGGGCACCGGUGGCCACUUCUGGGGUGUCGGUGGCCACCAAGGAGCCGUGCCAUGAUGCCAUCGCUGCUGGUCCUGCUGGUGGCCACGGUGGUGGCCAGCGGGGUGGCCCACCCCCCCGGGGUGUCGUCGGGGUGGCCGGGUGGCACGGCGCGGGCCCUCGUGGUGGCCGGGGGGGGCCGUGCGCAGCGGGUGCGGGUAAGGAGGGCCGGGGGAGGGCGAGGGCUACGGGCGAGGGGCAACGGGCAAGCGCGGGCCGUGUGGAAACGGCGGCCCCGGGGUCAAACUCCGGCGGCACACGGCACCGCGGGGGGGGGAGGGUGGCAGCGUGGCGUGUGGCGUGGCACGGAAUGGCGUGGCAUGGUGCCGUGUGGCACCGUGUGGCACCGUGCCAUCACGCGUGGCAUUGGAAUGGCGUGGCGUGGCACGGAACGGUGCCGUGUGGCAUGAAAUGGCGUGGCAUGGAAUGGCGUGGCACGGCAUGGGACGGUGCCGUGUGGCACCGUGUGGCACCGUGCCAUCAUGCGUGGCUUGGCGUGGCACAGAAUGGCAUGGAUUGGCAUGGAAUGGCACCGUGCCAUCAUGCGUGGCAUUGGAAUGGUGCCGUGUGGCACGGCUUGGCGUGGAAUGGCACCGUGUGGCACUGUGCCAUCAUGUGUGGCAUGGAAUGGCUUGGAACGGAAAGGCACCGUAUGACACCGUGCAUGGCAUGGCUUGGUUUGGCAUGGCAUUGGAAUGGCAUGGCUUGGCUUGGCACAGAAAGGCACCGUGUGGCACCGUGCCAUCACGCGUGGCAUUGGAAUGGCGUGGAUUGGCAUGGAAUGGUGCCGUGUGGCACCGUGCCAUCACGUGUGGCAUGGCGUGGCAUGGAUUGGCACGGAAUGGCGCUGUGUGGCACCGUGCCAUCAUGUGUGGCGUGGCGUGGCAUGGCAUGGCACGGGAUGGCACCGUGUGGCACAGAAUGGCACGGCUUGGCUUGGAAUGGCACCAUGCCAUCAUGCGUGGCAUGGCACAGAAUGGCAUGGCUUGGCACGGGAUGGUGCCGUGUGGCACCGUGCCAUCAUGUGUGGCUUGGCAUGGAUUGGCAUGGAAUGGCACCACGUGGCACUGUGCCAUCACGUGUGGCAUGGAAUGGCGUGGCACAGAAUGGCUUGGCAUGGAAUGGCGUGGCACUGUGUGGCACGGCUUGGCACGGAAUGGUGCCAUGCAGCACGGUGAUGGGUGGCAUGGCUUGGCACGGAAUGGCACCGUGUGGCACCAUGCCAUCACACACAGCAUUGGAAUGGCAUGGCACGGAAUGGCACGGCUUGGCAUGGAAUGGCACCAUGUGGCACGGUGAUGGGUGGUGUGGCAUGGAAUGGUGUGGCACAGAAUGGCUUAGCUUGGCGUGGAAUGGCACCGUGUGGCACUGUGCCAUCAUGUGUGGCAUGGCAUGGCAUGGCACAGAAUGGCAUAGCACUGUGCGGCAUGAUGUGGCACAAUG
This 1573-nucleotide long non-coding RNA is filed under the name Calidris pugnax (ruff). RNAcentral's name for it is "lncRNA (ENSCPUG00000000976.1)". Lineage: Eukaryota; Metazoa; Chordata; Aves; Charadriiformes; Scolopacidae. The record is from RNAcentral.